CAGCCGCCACGGGAAUACAGAGGGUGCGAGCGUUAAUCGGAAUUACUGGGCGUAAAGCGCGCGUAGACGGUUUGGUAAGUCAGAUGUGAAAUCCCUGGGCUCAACCUGGGAACUGCAUUUGAUACUGCCUGGCUAGAGUAUCGAAGAGGGAAGUGGAAUUUCCGGUGUAGCGGUGAAAUGCGUAGAUAUCGGAAGGAACACCAGUGGCGAAAGCGACUUCCUGGUCGAAUACUGACGUUCAUGUGCGAAAGCGUGGGGAGCAAACAGGAUUAGAUACCCCUGUAGUCCCUGUCUCUUAUAC
This 301-nucleotide ribosomal RNA is filed under the name uncultured bacterium. Its description in RNAcentral is "partial 16S ribosomal RNA". It matches the Rfam family "Bacterial small subunit ribosomal RNA", at positions 509 to 807 of the family's 1533-position model. The record is from RNAcentral.